This is an RNA transcript of Odontomachus brunneus, 1086 nucleotides long. It is a transcript of the gene named carbonic anhydrase 2-like, with no coding region annotated. The record is from RefSeq and is a predicted model, not a curated record. Lineage: Eukaryota; Metazoa; Arthropoda; Insecta; Hymenoptera; Formicidae. The transcript has 8 exons.
CUUGCAAAGACAGUAUGAAGGGAGCGCGAAGAGAUGGAUUGCAAUAUCCAAUGAAAUGUAACAUGUCCCGUUUAAAAGCAAUAAACACUUAAUUUCAUUUCAUCAUUUACGUGCGGAAUUUCGAAAUUGUGAUGUACAAAUGACAUCCAAAUCCAGAAGCACACGAUCACGAGAAAAAUUACGCACGACAUCAUCUUCGGGUUUACCGAAAUGGCGACAAUCACCAGUUGAUAUUAAUCAAGUCGCUGUGUGGACGAAAAAAUUUCCACUCUUACUUUUGACUAAUUAUUGGUCAAAUGAUGGCACAGCGACAAUCACGAACACUGGCACAACAGUUAAUGUGGAAUUGACGAAUAGGAAAAUGCCGACAAUGCGCGGCGGUCCUUUGAAAGAUGACGAAUUUCAAUUUAUAAACGCACAAUUUCGGUGGGGCUCGUGUAACUCCCGUGGCGCGGAACAUUCAAUCAAUAACGCGUGGUAUUCGAUGGAGGCGCAAGUUAUGCAUUGGAAUACGCGUUACGGAUCAAUAGACAAAUGCUACGACAAGCCUGAUGGGAUUGCAAUACUCUCAUAUCUCAUGCAGGUGGUCGGCUGCUCGGGAAUUGCAGAUAAUUCCGCACUCGCUCCGAUCACUGAUAAGCUUUUGGAAAUAAAACGCAUGGGUAGCACUGUGAAUAUUAUGCCUGAUUGUUUACGUUGGAUGACGCAUGCACUCAUGUGCUCCACAUAUUACACUUAUUCAGGCUCGCUUACCCUUCCCCCUUAUAAUGAGUGCGUUAUUUGGAUAAUUUUGCCGAGUGCGAUAAGAAUCUCUCUUCGUCAGAUAGAAGCUUUCAGAAGUCUUUAUAACCACAAGUGGGAACAUAUAGUGAGAAACUAUAGAUCCCAACAUCUUCUUCAUGGAAGAAGAAUUUUCUACGCCACAGAUGACGCAGUAGAGUGAUCGAAUCGAGAAAUUUUAUUACUUAGGAAAAAAAAUUGCUUUAGCAAAAAUUUCCGCAAACGAUACACGUGAAGCAAGUCGCGAACAAGACAACUGAUCAGCAUCGCGGAAAAGAGACCUCAACCGUUUCAGUACAUUUGAGU